CAUGCAAGUCGAACGGAAAGUGCUCUUCGGAGUGACUCGAGUGGCGAACGGGUGAGUAACACGUGGGUGAUCUGCCCUGCACUUUGGGAUAAGCCUGGGAAACUGGGUCUAAUACCGGAUAGGACCACAUGCUUCAUGGUGUGUGGUGGAAAGCUUUUGCGGUGUGGGAUGGGCCCGCGGCCUAUCAGCUUGUUGGUGGGGUAAUGGCCUACCAAGGCGACGACGGGUAGCCGGCCUGAGAGGGUGUCCGGCCACACUGGGACUGAGAUACGGCCCAGACUCCUACGGGAGGCAGCAGUGGGGAAUAUUGCACAAUGGGCGCAAGCCUGAUGCAGCGACGCCGCGUGAGGGAUGACGGCCUUCGGGUUGUAACCCUCUUUCAACUACGACGAAGCGCAAGUGACGGUAGUAGUAGAAGAAGCACCGGCCAACUACGUGCCAGCAGCCGCGGUAAUACGUAGGGUGCGAGCGUUGUCCGGAAUUACUGGGCGUAAAGAGCUCGUAGGUGGUUUGUCGCGUUGUUCGUGAAAACUCACA
RNAcentral lists this ribosomal RNA (537 nucleotides) under uncultured Mycobacterium sp. RNAcentral describes it as "bacterial SSU rRNA". It matches the Rfam family "Bacterial small subunit ribosomal RNA", at positions 54 to 606 of the family's 1533-position model. The record is from RNAcentral. Lineage: Bacteria; Bacillati; Actinomycetota; Actinomycetes; Mycobacteriales; Mycobacteriaceae.